Molecule: transfer RNA, 66 nt
Filed under: Orussus occidentalis
Lineage: Eukaryota; Metazoa; Arthropoda; Insecta; Hymenoptera; Orussidae
Description: tRNA-Cys
Source: RNAcentral
AGUUUUAUAGUUUAAUAAAAAUUUUAAAUUGCAAGUUUAAAGAUACUGGUGAAUUGGUUAAGACUU